Molecule: long non-coding RNA, 589 nt
Organism: Oncorhynchus mykiss (rainbow trout)
Lineage: Eukaryota; Metazoa; Chordata; Actinopteri; Salmoniformes; Salmonidae
Source: RefSeq, a predicted model, not a curated record
CAAGCCGGUGCACCGCGGCUCAGGUUAAUAUAACUCCCUUAUUGUUCUGCCUGAAGUUAGACGCGCCUACCUACCACAUGGUCUACAUCUGAACUGGAGUCCUUCCUGAUCUACAUACACAUCUACAUGAGACUGUGUCUACGCAUUGAAAACUGCAUAGGACUACACAUCCAUCGCAGAACGAGAGCAAUGUUGACAAGAACGGCUCUCACUUGGGGCUUCCAAGGAGAAUGAUCCUGAGAUAAGAUUAACCAAGACUCCUGAAGUGCCACCACCAACAAUGGCUGAGCUGCUACAACUUUGAGGAGAAGUCGCCACGCCACAGUUAGCACACCUGAGCAUUCCCUUUUGUCAGACUUCCUGGGAAGUGUGAAAACCUACAGAGUACUCAGAAAUGUUGUUGAAAGUGGAGGGCUUACAACCAAACAUAUAAAUCAUAUGUAAAUAAGGGAUGUUUGUGUGGGCAACAAACUUGUGUGAGAAACAAUAUUUGUGCAUUCUUUAUCUAGCAUAUAGGCAUCAUUAUUUUACUUUUGGAAUGGUUUUCAAAUGAUUUACUAAGCUGUUAUCUUUUUCUGGAUAUCUAUAC